CGCCUGUUUAUCAAAAACAUGGCCUUUUGUUUAUUAUUUAAGGUCUAGCCUGCCCACUGAGUAGUUAAAUGGCCGCGGUACACUGACCGUGCAAAGGUAGCAUAAUCAUUAGUUUCUUAAUUGGAAGCUGGUAUGAAUGGUUGGAUGAGAAAAUAACUGUCUCUACUUAAAUUUUGGAAUUUUAUUUUUAAGUAAAAAAGCUUAAAUUUUAUUAAAAGACGAUAAGACCCUAUAGAGUUUUAUAAAUUUUGAUGUUAUAGGUUUUAGUAUUUUCGUCUUGAUAUAUUAAAAUUUAUUUAGUUGGGGAGAUUGAAAAAUUAGAAGAACUUUUUUUUUAUUGAAACACUUAUUUGUGGUUAUUUGAUCCAUUUUUUGAUUAUAAGAUAAAGUUACCUUAGGGAUAACAGCGUAA
RNAcentral lists this ribosomal RNA (412 nucleotides) under Dorysthenes granulosus. RNAcentral's name for it is "partial 16S ribosomal RNA". The stretch from base 1 to 205 matches the Rfam family "Archaeal large subunit ribosomal RNA", at positions 1889 to 2143 of the family's 2987-position model. The record is from RNAcentral. Lineage: Eukaryota; Metazoa; Arthropoda; Insecta; Coleoptera; Cerambycidae.